RNAcentral lists this ribosomal RNA (404 nucleotides) under uncultured bacterium. RNAcentral describes it as "bacterial SSU rRNA". It matches the Rfam family "Bacterial small subunit ribosomal RNA", at positions 355 to 775 of the family's 1533-position model. The record is from RNAcentral.
UCGGGAAUAUUGCACAAUGGGCGAAAGCCUGAUGCAGCAACGCCGCGUGCACGAUGAAGGCCUUCGGGUCGUAAAGUGCUUUUCUGGGAGAUGAGAAAGGACAGUAUCCCAGGAAUAAGUCUCGGCUAACUACGUGCCAGCAGCCGCGGUAAAACGUAGGAGGCGAGCGUUAUCCGGAUUCACUGGGCGUAAAGCGCGUGCAGGUGGCUUGGUAAGUUGGGCGUGAAAUCUCCCGGCUCAACUGGGAGAGGUCGUCCAAUACUACCGGGCUAGAGAGCAGAAGAGGAAGAUGGAAUUCCCGGUGUAGUGGUGAAAUGCGUAGAUAUCGGGAGGAACACCAGUGGCGAAGGCGAUCUUCUGGUCUGUUUCUGACACUCAGACGCGACAGCUAGGGUAGUAAACGG